UAUACAUUGUUAGAGUUUGGAUUUGAGGUCACUACCUGGAUGAUGAACAAGUGUAGGUAGUAAGCUACAUUACAGGAGGGGCAAGUGUUUUGCUAACACUCCAUUCUGGCCCAGUGAAUGGAGCUUGAUAGGAACCCUUGUUACAAGU
RNAcentral lists this small nucleolar RNA (148 nucleotides) under Castor canadensis (American beaver). The record is from RNAcentral. Lineage: Eukaryota; Metazoa; Chordata; Mammalia; Rodentia; Castoridae.